UACAGAGGUCUCAAGCGUUGUUCGGAUUCAUUGGGCGUAAAGGGUGCGUAGGCGGCGGGGCAAGUCUGAUGUGAAAUCCCGGGGCUUAACUCCGAAACUGCAUUCGAUACUGCCGUGCUUGAGGACUGGAGAGGAGACUGGAAUUUACGGUGUAGCGGUGAAAUGCGUAGAUAUCGUAAGGAAGACCAGUGGCGAAGGCGGGUCUCUGGACAGUUCCUGACGCUGAGGCACGAAGGCCAGGGGAGCAAACGGG
RNAcentral lists this ribosomal RNA (253 nucleotides) under uncultured bacterium. RNAcentral's name for it is "partial 16S ribosomal RNA". It matches the Rfam family "Bacterial small subunit ribosomal RNA", at positions 524 to 776 of the family's 1533-position model. The record is from RNAcentral.